AAGGAUAUAGCGCAGCUUGGUAGCGCCCUUGUUUUGGGGUCAAAAAUUUGACGGGUUCCAAUCCUGUCAUCCCUACC
Molecule: transfer RNA, 77 nt
Filed under: Tribulus terrestris
Lineage: Eukaryota; Viridiplantae; Streptophyta; Magnoliopsida; Zygophyllales; Zygophyllaceae
Description: tRNA-Pro
Rfam family: tRNA
About the family: Transfer RNA (tRNA) molecules are approximately 80 nucleotides in length. Their secondary structure includes four short double-helical elements and three loops (D, anti-codon, and T loops).
Source: RNAcentral